RNAcentral lists this ribosomal RNA (604 nucleotides) under uncultured marine bacterium. Its description in RNAcentral is "bacterial SSU rRNA". It matches the Rfam family "Bacterial small subunit ribosomal RNA", at positions 886 to 1498 of the family's 1533-position model. The record is from RNAcentral.
CCGCAAGGUUAAAACUCAAAUGAAUUGACGGGGACCCGCACAAGUAGUGGAGCAUGUGGUUUAUUCGAAGAUACGCGCAGAACCUUACCAACACUUGACAUGUUCGUCGCGACUCUAAGAGAUUAGAGUUUUCGGUUCGGCCGGACGAAACACAGGUGCUGCAUGGCUGUCGUCAGCUCGUGUCGUGAGAUGUUGGGUUAAGUCCCGCAACGAGCGCAACCCUCACUUUUAGUUGCCAUCAUUUAGUUGGGCACUCUGAAAGAACUGCCAGUGAUAAGCUGGAGGAAGGUGGGGAUGACGUCAAGUCCUCAUGGCCCUUAUGUGUUGGGCUACACACGUGCUACAAUGGCAUUUACAAUAGGAAGCAAGAUGGCGACGUCAAGCAAAUCCUAAAAAAAUGCCUCAGUUCGGAUUGUACUCUGCAACUCGAGUACAUGAAGCUGGAAUUACUAGUAAUCGCGGAUCAGCGCGCCGCGGUGAAUGCGUUCCCGGGUCUUGUACACACCGCCCGUCACACCAUGGGAGUUGGUUCGUACCUUAAGGCAAAACUUAAAACUUUUGACCACGGUAUAGUCAGCGACUGGGGUGAAGUCGUAACAAGGUA